GACGAACGCUGGCGGCGUGCUUAACACAUGCAAGUCGAACGAAAGCGUAGAGAAAGCUUGCUUUUUCUACAAUCUAGUGGCAAACGGGUGAGUAACGCGUAAACAACCUGCCCUACGGAUGGGGACAACAGCUGGAAACGGCUGCUAAUACCGAAUACGUUCCGAAAGUCGCAUGACUAUCGGAAGAAAGGAUGGCCUCUAUUUAUAAGCUAUCGCCGGAGGAGGGGUUUGCGUCUGAUUAGCUAGUUGGAGGGGUAACGGCCCACCAAGGCGACGAUCAGUAGCCGGUCUGAGAGGAUGAACGGCCACAUUGGAACUGAGACACGGUCCAGACUCCUACGGGAGGCAGCAGUGGGGAAUCUUCCGCAAUGGGCGAAAGCCUGACGGAGCAACGCCGCGUGAGUGAAGACGGCCUUCGGGUUGUAAAGCUCUGUUAUACGGGACGAAUAAUCUUGUGGUUAAUACCCAUGAGAAGUGACGGUACCGUAAGAGAAAGCCACGGCUAACUACGUG
This 513-nucleotide ribosomal RNA is filed under the name uncultured bacterium. RNAcentral describes it as "partial 16S ribosomal RNA". It matches the Rfam family "Bacterial small subunit ribosomal RNA", at positions 28 to 507 of the family's 1533-position model. The record is from RNAcentral.